Molecule: ribosomal RNA, 462 nt
Filed under: uncultured soil bacterium
Lineage: Bacteria
Description: bacterial SSU rRNA
Rfam family: Bacterial small subunit ribosomal RNA
Source: RNAcentral
AGAGCGAACGCUGGCGGCAGGCCUAACACAUGCAAGUCGAACGAACUCUUCGGAGUUAGUGGCGGACGGGUGAGUAACACGUGGGAACGUGCCUUUAGGUUCGGAAUAACUCAGGGAAACUUGUGCUAAUACCGAAUGUGCCCGUUCGGGGGAAAGAUUUAUCGCCUUUAGAGCGGCCCGCGUCUGAUUAGCUUGUUGGUGGGGUAAUGGCCCACCAAGGCUACGAUCAGUAGCUGGUCUGAGAGGAUGACCAGCCACAUUGGGACUGAGACACGGCCCAAACUCCUACGGGAGCAGCAGUGGGAAUCUUGCGCAAGUGGGCGAAAGCCUGACGCAGCCAUGCCGCGUGUAUGAUGAAGGUUCUUAGGUAUUAGUAAAAUACUUUACACCGGUAGAAGUAAUAAGUAGACUGUAGACCGGAGAAAGAACGCCCCGGACUAACCUCGCGCCAGCACGCCGAAC